AAAAAAAAAGGACCCCUUUAAUUCCAAAGAAUUAUGAUUUUUUUUUUUUUUAAGUAGGCUCCAUACUCAAUGUGGGGCUUGAACUAACAACCUUGAGGUCACAAGCCACAGGCUCUACUGACUGAGCCAGCCAGGUAUCUCUGUGAUAAGUCUUUAAAAUGCAGUAUAUGCUAGAAGGCAUUCAAUAAAAUUCAACAUCUGUAUACCUAGUGCUAGAAAACUAGGAAAAGAAAGACACGGUGUGAAUCAUUUUACCUUUCCUCUUUUCUGUGACCUAUUUUUCAGGGCAUCCCUAGAAAUCUCAUCGAUUGGAUGGAUGCUGUCUAAAAAUUGAUGGAUUUGGUCUGAAAAUUUUUGUCCUUUCUUAGGAAGUUUAACGUAUUUAUACUCAUAAUUAGAACAGUGCUCGCCAGUGAAAAUAACAGUACAGGCACGAUAUGAUUGCAACCAGCAGGGACAAAAGGAAUAGGAUGGGAGCUAGACCACACGUAUCCAGGAAUAUUCCCAAUGUAGGGACCUUAAAAAGGAGUUUUCAUUACUUCAGCAGAUAAGAUGGAUGCCGAGUCCACGCCUGGCGGGGUACUGCACAAUGUCAAGGAUGAGUGGGAUGAUUUUCGUGAUAGAAACUGAGAGGAUCAGAACUCCUAGGCACCAGGAGCUGGUGCUAAAGAUGAGUCAGACUGAGCCUUCUCCACAGAAGUGAGAGACAAGGACAUCUCAACAAAUGGCAAUCCUGUAAUGGACUGUAAUGGAAGUGUGCGGCUCAUGAAGGAAAGACCUCAUUCUUCAGAGGAAAUCAGAAAGGAGGACCCAUUAAAGGUAGAGA
RNAcentral lists this long non-coding RNA (826 nucleotides) under Neogale vison (American mink). RNAcentral describes it as "Neovison vison (American mink) lncRNA (ENSNVIG00000011343.1)". The record is from RNAcentral. Lineage: Eukaryota; Metazoa; Chordata; Mammalia; Carnivora; Mustelidae.